AAAAAUGAUAUGAUGUUAAGGAUUUUAAUAAUUUUAUAUAGCAGUAUAAUAACAAAUAAAGAUAUAAAAAAAGAGAAGUAUGAAGAAUUUGAAAAUUUUAUAAAAAUGCUUUUGAAUAAUAUGAAUGGUAUACAUAUAGAUAUCGAAUUAGUGCGCUAUAUGAUAAAUUUGAUUACAAAUAUAUUCUUAAAUUAUCCAUAUUAUAUCUACAAUUUAAUAACAUUGUUAGUUAAUUAUAUAACAAUUAUUAAUGCAAAUUUUAUGACAUCCUUAACUCAAAAUACAUUUGAUGACAUAGAAAAACAAAUAAGUGUAUUAAUAAUAAGCAGCAUGUCCUUAAAGCAAAUAGUUUUUUAUUCUUUUGUUUAUUACAAAAUCCACAAUUUAAAUAAUCUUUUAUUUUAUAUAUUUGACAUCUGUAAAUUGUUUUUAUCAAAAGUACAAAUACAUCCAUUAAAAAGUAUUAACGAGUUAAGAAGAAUAAUUUCCUAUUCGUUGAUUCACUCGAUUAUGUCUUUGUGUGUACUGGAAAUUAUGACAAAUGAGUGUUAUUAUGUCAUCAAGCCGGUCUGUAAGUCAAACACCAAAAUGGACACCAAAAUGGACACCAAAAUGGACACCAAAAUGGACACCAAACUAGACACCAAACUAUACACCAAACUAGACACCAAACAAAUAAAGAAAAGCAAUUAUAACAAUAAAAAAACAAAAAAAACGCGAAAACGCUACGCAACAAAUAAGACCAUUUCAUCCAACCUACUACCAACCUCAUACCAUUUCCGUCAAAUGAGCAACCUAGAAACAUAUUUUAAUAAAUAUGAAUUUAUUUAUGAUAAUAUAAUUUUUAAAAUUUUAUUAGACAUACUUAAUGAAAUGUUAAACGAAGUUAAUAAAGAAAAUAUCGAUUUGUUUAUUAGUUCAUAUGAAGAACAGAAUAUAAAACACAAAAUGAAUAGUAAUAAUUUUUUUAUUGUAGAAAAUUUAUUUAUUUUGUUUUAUGUUUUAAAAAAUAUUAAUGUUUUAUUAUCAUCUGACAUGUUAACUUUUUUAUUUUUUGACAUAAUAUAUAAAAUUGUUAAUACAUUAUUUAUUUUUUUAUAUAAAAUAAACAAAAUAAAAGUUGAACAUAAUGACAGCGCAAAUUUGGAAAUACCAUUGGAUAAUACACAAAAUAAUUUGCCUUUAAAAAUAGAUUCAGGUAAAAGUUCUAGUAACAGUUGUAGUAAUAAUAGUAGUAACAUUAGUGGUGGGUUAAAAAAAAAAAAAGAUUCUUUUUACUUUUUUGAAUAUGGUUUUACUCAAAUAUGUAGAUCCGUAAGUAUAGAUGAUAUUUUAUUAGUUUUCUUUUUAUAUAUAAUUCAAGCUUUAUAUAAAAUUAUAAAAUUUGUAAGACUGAAGGUUCGAAGGACAAUAAGAGGAAUAAAUUUAAUGAGUGGCAAUUUGAUGGUUACACACGAAAUGACUAAAGAUGUUGGAAAAAACGAUUGUAAUGACGCAAAGAAGAAUAUUACAGCUGAUGGUAUGAACAAAUAUAUUGUGCCAGAUAACAAAAACAACAAAAGUGUGGUAAACAAGCAUGACAGUGUUUUCUUUUUGUUAUAUGAUGAUAAUAAUGAGUACAAAUCUUUAUUAGAUAAAAACGACGAUAAAUUUCAUUCUAUUUAUGAUGCAUUGUUGACAGCAAAAAAAUCGGAGGGGUGGUAUUUUGAUUUUUUUCUUAAAAUUAUAAUAAAUUUUGUAAAAAAUAUAGCUAAUAAAGAUUUUAACAAUUUGAUUAUCAAUGCAUUGAAACAAAAAAAAAAGGAGAAUAAAAAUGGAAAUGCACAAAGAAAAGCUACACAUGACAACAAAAUCGAACAAAAAAUACAAUACAUAUUCCAAAACAUAAACGAAUUAGAAGUACUAAAUUUACCAACUAACAACUAUGACACAUAUUACGAGUUGAUAAUAAUAAAUAGCGUAAUGUUAUUUGAUACAUUUUUAGAAAGAAAAAGAUAUUUUAAUAUAAUUAUGAAUAACAUAUAUAGAUGUAUUUCAAAUAUACAUUUAAACCAGAACGAAUUAUUAAUAUAUUUAUUAACACUAUCAAAAUUUUUAAAAAGGAAAUUUUAUAAUAAAAAAAAAAAAAAGCUAUUUAACCAUAUGUUACCACUGUUUAAUUUACUAAAUAUAUACAUUGGUCAUAGUAGUACUACUGGAGUGCUCAAUAUAUUGAUAAUAAAAAUUAUGACUUUUUUUAUUAGUGAUAAUAAUUAUGUUAUAAAUAAAUACUUAUUCGAUUAUGUGUUAAAAAUAUAUAGAAAUUAUAUACCUCAUAUGAAUCAAAAUAAUGAUUUAAAUGUCAUUGUUGCUUAUUUUAUAAAAAGAUUUAUAUUAUGUUAUGUUAAAAAAAAAAUAAAUAAAAAAAAAGGGGAUAAUAAAAAAAGUGCAAAAAUAGUAAGUUCUUGUGGAAGUGCAAAAAUACCGAAUUCUUCUUUUGGUAGUCAUAAUAUGUUGAAAGGCGACGGUCGCCACGUCGGUUUAUCUAAAAACAAUUGUUUACAAAAAGAGAACUGUGGCAACAUUCGUGAUAGUACACACAGUGACAAAGACAAAAAUACUGCCGAAGAGACAAAUAAGUUAGCUAGUUCUAGCUCUUUUAAAGAAACCAGUAUAAAUAAAAAAUAUCCUAAAACUAUGAGGUUGAAUACGGAUUAUACGUGUUUAACAGAUGAUACACUUUUCCAUAUGAUGAGUAAUAAAAAUGGCGUAUGCAUAAAAAAAGAAGAAACAGAAGAUAAAAAGUUGAUUAAAACCGAGUCAAGCUAUUUAUAUGAUACAAAACAUGUGACAUAUAUAAACGAUAUGAUUAAUAAAAAAAAUGUUAAGAAAUUAAAAAAGGAAGAGAAAAAAAAAAUAAAAAUUUUAUUUGGUCACUUGUUAAAUAUAUUGAAACUAAUUUCUCAUAAAAACGACUGUUUUAUAACUGUUUUACAAAUAUUGAAUUCUGUAAUAAAUAAAACAUACAUAUAUAUUAAUUAUACAAAAAUAAAAAGUUUUUUAGAAGUGAUAUUGGCAUAUAUAUUAAGAAGUGAAAAUAGCAAUGUGUAUAAUGAUGUUAGAGGUGAAAAGGGUAAGUAUAUGAUACGCUUAUUUAUAAAUAUAUUGCUUACAAUAAGGAACAAGCAGCAGGUGGCAGGUGUGGGCAUGUCAGAUAUGGGGGAUUCCAUUGUAAGCGAAAAGAAAAAAAAACGCCAUAAACAAACGAAAAAACUAUAUAAAGAAAUAGUUAAUAAGAUAUUUUUUAUAUUCGAAAUAAUAUUAAAUUUGUAUGAGAAAAAAGCAAACCAUUUAUUUUUUAAAAUCAUUAUUAUUUUAUUUGAUAUAUUUAAACUAGCUAAAUUGAAAAAAUAUUUGUAUAGAAUAUCGAUACUUGUCCAGAGGAACAUAUUUUUUUGUAAUAAUAAAAAAAACAUAAAGCACGCGCUAAUUUGUGUAUACAGUCUAUUGAAAAAGGAGAUAAACUUACCACUACAUGAGAAUUUUGAUUACUAUCUUUUAGUAUUACAUAAUUUUUAUAGUAAUGAUGUGAGCGGUAGUGGAUGCGGUAGUGAAAGCAGUAAUGGUAGGUGCAGUAGUGAAAGCAGUAAUGGUAGGUGCAGUAGUGAAAGCAGUAAUGGUAAAUGCGGUAGUAGAUGCAGUAGUAGCGGCAGCAACAGAAGCAAUAGUAAUAACAACUUAGAUUAUUAUUUUAUGAAUGUAUUAAAAUUAAGAAUACGCCUUUAUGCGUUUUUUAACGUCCACGAGUGGAUAAACUUAUUUGAUUAUGUUUUAAAUGCUAAAAAUGUAUAUUCUUAUAAUGUUAAUAAAUUUAGGAACACAAUUUUAAAAAGUAAUAGUUCGAAUUGGGAAAAUAAUGACGAACAAAAAAAAAAAAAAAAAAGUGUUAAUAGCAUUGGUAGUAGUGAUAUUAGUAGCGGUAGUGGUGACAUUAGUAACAUAAAUAGCAAACCGUAUGAUACGAGUAAUAAAAAAAAAAAUGGUUUAUUAACUGAUGAGUUAACAAGUGAUAAGAGUAACAAUGAUUGUGUAUUUUUUUAUACGUCUUUAUUUGAUAAAAAUUUAUGUUUUAACACUCAUAUUAAUUUGAGGAAAGAAACAAGAGGAUGUACAGCGCAGAGUACUUAUGCUAAGACUACUACAUUUAGAACUAUGAUGACAAAUAAAAAAGCAUUAUAUUUUUUUAAUGUAUUGAAGGUAAAACCAAACGAAUAUAUUUUUUCAUACAAUACAAAAUGUUACAUUAUGAAACUAUUAUUCUUUUUUUUAAAAACUAUAGAUGCUUCUCCUUAUGUUUAUAUUCAUAAUGACUCUACUUAUGGCACUUAUAUGAAAAAUCGACUGAAAGAAAUCGUGUUACAAAGUGAAGAAGGGGGUAAAGAUGUUUUCAUUUUUGAACAAAAGAGUCUGACCCGUAAUAAAGGAAAUGGUGAUAAUAGUCAGUCUAAUCAAAAUAGAAGUUACAAAGGUAUGGAUAAGGGUGCGAAUAAGGGCAAAAGUAAAAGCACGAAUAAUGGUGCGAAUAAGGGAAAAAAUAAAAGCACGAACAAUGGUGAGAAUAAGGGCAAAAAUAAAAGCACGAAUAAUGGUGUGAAUAAGGGCAAAAGUAAAAGCACGAACAAUGGUGAGAAUAAGGGCAAAAAUAAAAACAAGAAUAAAAACAACAUAACUAUUUCUUCCAACAAUAGUAAUAGUAAUACAGGCAGUCGCAAAGCGUUAAACAGGGGAGGAAAAGGGGGGAAGGUUAAUACAUAUGGCUGGAUAAACGGUCAUAAUAAUAAAAUGGGUAGUGCUAAUGGUAGUACUAAUAUUAGUAAUAAAAUUAGCAACAAUGGGAUAAGUAGAACAUGUAGUAAUGCUAAUGAAAGCACUAGUACGAAAAUAUAUAAGAUCGAAAAUAUAUUAAAUAAUAUGCAAAAACAGAGGCUUAAACAUGGGGGUAAACAUGGGGGUAAACAUGGGCCUAACCAAGAGCUUACGCUGGGGCAAAUUUCAAAAAAAAAAGACAUACCAAGUUUAGUAAAAUUUGAAAAAACAAGGGUCGAAAAGAUUAUUACAAAUUUAACAUUAUAUGACAACUUCGAACGUUUAUUAAAAUUGAUUUUAGAUAAUAUAAAUUGUGGUAUACAUAAUUAUAAGAUAUCUGGGUAUGCUUUAAAGAUACUAAUGUUAUAUAUCAACCUUUUUAAAUUUACUAGUAUAUUAAUUGAUAAUUUUUCAAAUAAUAGUAAAAUGAUGUUACUAUGGAAUUAUGAAAUAAAUAUUUUUACAUCUUUAAAAUUAUAUUUUGAGUCAUUUAAUUUUUUUUACUUAUUUAAUUAUAAAAAUAAGGGUGAAAUAAACAAUGAUUGUUAUAGUAGUUCAAAAGAUAAUAAAAGCGGUGAUAUAAACGAUGUUUCUAUGGGUUCUACCGGUGGUGGUGGUGGUGGUUCUGCUGCUGCUACCACUACUUCUACCACGAACAACACACAUCAAUUUUCUCAUCAUUUCUUAUACCCUUUAAUAAAGAUAUACAACAUAGCUUUAUUUUUAAAUAAAUAUCAGUUAUGUAAAUCGCACAUGUAUUAUAUUGAGUACUUAUUUAAUAGCUUAUUGAAAAAAAGCGAUUUAUCAUCACAUAGUAAUAAUAUCAGAACUGGUAGCACAGAAAAGGGCUAUAUCAUCAAUGCGAACAGUAACAACUAUACGUCACACUCUAAUGACAUAAAACAAAAAGAUGGUAUAACAUUAAACAAUUACAACAUUAACACAAAAUUAACAAAUACGUAUAGUAUAAAGUUGAAUGAAACGAAAAUGUUAUAUAACACAUCAUUAUUUUUUUCUGAAUUCGACACUUGUGUUUAUUUCCUUUUUUAUUAUAAAUCUUUUUGUUCUUACAUAAUAAUCAAUGAAAAUAACUUAAACGUUUUAGCACUUUUUAAUAUUCAAUUGAUUGUUGAAAAUGCUUGUUAUAUAAUAUUUGAUGCGAUAAUUUUAUAUUUAUGUGCGUUUGGUUCCGUCGGCAGUAGUGACAAAAGGAGUGGCAAAAGGAGUGACAAAAGGAGUGACAAAAGGAAUGACAAAAGGAGUGACAAAAGGAAUGACAAAAGGAAUGACAAAAGGAGUGACACAAGGAGUGGUAACACCAACAAUAUUAAAAAAACAGGAAACUACUUUGCAGAUAUCCGCUACAAGUUUUUUACAUGUGUACAUGAUAAAGCCAGAUCAUUAUCCAUUUAUUAUUUUUUGCUUUUUCCAAUUAUUAUUCAAUUUUUCAACAUAAUAAAAAACUACAUAAAAUGGGAUAAAAAGAAUGUUUUAUUUUUUAAAACUUUUAUUAUUUUUUUAUGUUAUAUGAUGAAAGAGCACAGGGAAUUGUUAAAAGAAAAAACGAAAGAUGUAUAUUUUACCUUUAUAUUUAAUUAUUUAAUUAUAAUUGAAUUUUGUAUAAAUAAAGAUAUAGAAAAAGCAGGUUAUGAUGUUGAUUAUACAAAUGAUUCGUUAGGAAAAACAGAUAAAAUUAGAUUAGAACAAAAUGGAGAUGAGAUGAUACAAAGCGAAAGUUACAAUGUGCAUACUAAAGAAGAUGGUAAUAUACAAACAAAACAUAAACAUCCGUUAGAUACUAAUAUUAUACAUGGUGAUGAUGAUAUAAAAAAAAGUAGCGAAAAAAGUGGCGAAAAAAGUGGCGAAAAAAGUAGCGAAAAAAGUAGCGAAAAAAGUAGCGAAAAAAGUAGCGAAAAAAGUAGCGAAAAAAGUAGCGAAAAAAGUAGCGAAAAAAGUAGAGAAAAAAGUAGCGAAAAAAGUAGCGAAAAAAGUGGCGAAAAAAGUAGCGAAAAAAGUAGCGAAAAGAAAAAAGAGAGCAUUUUUUUUAAGGUCCAACUAAAUUAUUUAAUAAAAUAUAUAAUAACAGCACAUAUAAAUGAAAAAAACUUACAUAGUGUUUUAGAAUUUAUAUCAGUCGUACAUAAUACGAUAUUAGAUUGUGAGAAUGUAAACAUAGAAACGAAUACGUUGUGUGUAAUAUAUUCAUUAAAUGUGUUUUUAAUAAACAAGUUUUUGAUUUAUGAAAAAGGUAAUUCAAGGAAGGGGGGGAAAAAGAAAGGAACGAAAGGGAAGAGGAAAUGUAAGAAAAAUGAAAUGCUGAACGAAACUAUUUAUUACGACAAGCUUUGGAAAUCUUUAUUAAACUGCUACAACAUUUUAGAAAAAAUAAACGAUAGCGAAUUAAAAGAAAAAAUAAAAGUAUUAUUACAAAAAACUUUUUUGAAAAAAAUGGAUUUAUUAACAAAUGAAAAAUUAUCAAGUAGACUUUUAAAAUAUUUUUUUCAGUAUGCUUCUAUAAAUGAUAUCCAUAAUUAUUUGGCUCAAAUAAAAAAAACAUAUAAACAAGAAAUGUACACCAUAAUAACUCAAAUGGAUGUAUUAAAAAUUAAUUUAUUCUACAUAAAAAUAAUUGUUUUUAUCCAUUUUAUUGACUCGGUUGAGAUAUUAGAUAUAAAGGUUAAUUUUAUUUUUUUUCUUUUGUUCUUACAAUUGCUUAUUGAAUUUUUGAGCAGCAUGAAAGUGAUAUAUAUGUACGGCGGAGAUAACAAUGGAAGUAGAAAGUGUGUCGGAAUGAUGAAAGGAGUCACACUUAAACAGAACAUCGGUUAUGGUAGCGAUUGUAGUGGCUGUAAUACUAAACAAAAUGUACGCCAUAACUUGGUCAACACUACCAAUUGUAUUAUUAAAAAACAAAUUAUCAUUUCAUCACUUAAUAUUAUACAAAACAUAUUUACUUUAAUCAAAAACAAAAAAGAAACACUUGUUUUUUACUUUUUAUAUAAUUUACUUAGAAACAAUGUAUUACCUAUAAUUAUAACAACUAAUAAUAUGGCAGAUACGUUGGAAUAUGAACAGUUAAUACCUUGUGAUUCAUUUUUAGAAGAAAUUCAUUGUUAUUCAAUAAAGUUAUUAAAUAUAUUUUUUAAUGUAUUUUUUAAUAAUACUAAUUUAAUGAAAGAAGUAUUGAUUCCUUUUAUUAAGUUCCUUUAUAAAAUUAUACAGGUAUGUGAAAAAGCAGGUAUAACAAUAACAAAAUGUGUUUUAUUAUAUGAAUUAGACCCAUCUAAGCAUAUUGAUUUAUUGAAUUACCAAAAUGAAAGUAUGUAUUUGUAUAAUAACUUUAGAAAGUCAAACAUAGUUUAUAUCAAUGAUAAAGCGAGUAAUAAUAUGACGGCACAUUUUAAAGAAACGAAUAAAAUAUUAAAAAACAUCGCUUUUAAAAACCCUUCAUUUUUUAAAGAUAUACUAGCACAAAUAAACGCACAAGAAAAGGUGCUUGUUUAUAACUUGAUGAAAGAGUCAAUUGAUUAUACAAAAAAAAAAAUGCAAUUACAAAGUAAAUGUAGUGAAAAAUUGGAUUUUAGUUUUAUAAAUUAGGCCUAUACGCACGGCAAAGAAAAAAAAUAAAAUAAAAUAUAUAAAUAUAAAUAUAAAUAUA
Long non-coding RNA from Piliocolobus tephrosceles (Ugandan red Colobus), 8503 nucleotides. NCBI's taxonomy places the organism in Eukaryota, Metazoa, Chordata, Mammalia, Primates, Cercopithecidae. The record is from Ensembl.